This is a long non-coding RNA of Syngnathus typhle (broad-nosed pipefish), 1987 nucleotides long. RefSeq lists it as uncharacterized. The record is from RefSeq and is a predicted model, not a curated record. NCBI's taxonomy places the organism in Eukaryota, Metazoa, Chordata, Actinopteri, Syngnathiformes, Syngnathidae. The transcript is spliced from 3 exons.
UUAUUCUCCAUGCAGGAUUAGGGUCCUAUUAUCAUAAUCUGGACAUUGACAAUUACCUAUAAUUUGCAAAGAUGCGCACGGUUCCUGAUUGCAGAGGGCCCUUUUUCCCCUCCUUUCCUCUCUCCCCAGCUCGCCAUCACUAAACAGUGACAGUAAUAACAGCUAAUUUUGCAGGCAAUAUAUAAGAGUUUACCACGGUGUGCAAACACUUUCCCACCUGGAUUUGCGUACGGGAGCCACCGACUGUGUUCACCGGCCGUUGCGUUUUUGCUGGCGUAAUAUUGUGAAGCAGCAGGAAGGUAUUAUGUCGAUAUGUGGUCAAGCGCAUCGGUAGCAUACGUCAAUCUAUAUGCUAACAAUCAGUGGUAAGGCCCUUCAUCCCAGGACCAAUGCUUGAGCUGCUGGCAAUGGGGAAAAUAAAAUAUUACUGGAUUUAUUAUAUAUAGAUUUUAUUAUUUUAUAUAUAGGUAUAAAUUGUAAAUUUUGCAAAAUAUUCUCUCUCUCUCUUUCUCUCUCUCUCUCUCUCUCUCUCUCUCUCUCUCUCUCUCUCUCUCUCUCUCUCUCUCUCUCUCUCUCUCUCUCUCUCUCUCUCUCUCUCUAUCUAUCUAUCUAUCUAUCUAUCUAUCGAUCUAUCGAUCUAUCUAUCUAUGGGUGACAUAAGGUGUUAUUUGUGAUUUUUGUGGAUUUUGUUGAUGUUUUUCAUGACGGCACAUGCAUGCUUGCAGGUCAUAUGGUGCAUAGGGCUUGUCUCGUGUGUGUGUGUGUGUGUGUGUGUGUGUGUGUGUGUGUGUGUGGUGGCGGGGGGGUGGCUGCCCCCAGGUAGCCUGAAUGCGCGCCAGUGGGGCAUCCGCGACGUUGACAGCUGCCUGGAGGCUUUUCACCACGCAGUCGUCAUUUCAGAUAAUAUCCCCGACGCUCUCUCUUCUCGGCAAUUUGUAUCUGAAUAAGGGAAUAAUUUCCCCCCUUUGUUCCAUCGGCGCUACCUCCAAAAGCAAAAUAAAGAUGCCUUUUAGUAUUAAAGUGGUCGAAAAUUACAGGUAAUUAUCUUUGACGGUAAAAACGCUGUAAUCAGCGGGCUACAUCAAAAAUUACCCUAAUUAUGCCUGCAUUUAUGAGAAAGAGGGAGAAAAAGGCUCCCUUGGAUAAAAAGCCAGCAAAUUGUCCCAAAUAUCUCCUUCAUAUUGAACGGCGCUGCAGCUGGCUGCUUUGUUCGCCAUCGAUCCCACAGAGCUCGGCUUUUAACGGCCUGCAUUAGGACGGAGAAACGGCAGAAAACAUUUUGUCAAUACUUCCAAUAAUUGAGGGUGGAAUUGACCUGCAUGCGGCCAGAGUCUUUGGAGGUGAACGUAGGCAAGCGGCGGUGGCAGGGUACGCCCCCCCCAAGCCUCCCCCUUGGCUUCCACAGCUGUGGUGAGUGAGGGGGCAGAUGACCGGAGAUUUGGCCCCUGGGAGAGCGCCGAGCCAUCCUGGUGCUAUUAGACUGGUGGCUAAUAAUAGGUGUUUCAGACUCGGGGAAGAUCAAUCAGAGGGGAAUGGGGAAUGUUCAGGCCAGCGCUUUUUACACAUCGGCCCAGAUGGAUGAAAUUACACUUGUCAGUUUUUAGUUGCAUUACUCCCAAAUUGGUUGUCUACUUUUUUUUUUUUUUUUUCCUCCCACCCUUCACUGCUUCAUUCCUGCUCUUGUUUUUUCUCACUCUUUUUUUUUUUUUUUUAGCUCCGGUUCAUGUGUCAAUGUCCUGCUAAAAGGAUUCAGCAGUGAAAUCCCUGUCAUUUUGCGCCGGGCCCUCCAGGUACACGUAUUCACUUAAACGACAUUAGUUCCUUGUCUCCUCGUGAACAUUUUGAUGGCCGAGUGCGUGAUUGUGUAAAUGCGCAGAUGACAUUUUGUAUGAGGCGUGGAAAAAGUGUCAGGAAUGUUCUUGCUGCUUUGUGUCAUUUGAAUGUAAACAGCUACUUGAUGUGAAAUAAAUUGAAAUUCAUCAACGCA